Molecule: long non-coding RNA, 767 nt
Organism: Phascolarctos cinereus (koala)
Lineage: Eukaryota; Metazoa; Chordata; Mammalia; Diprotodontia; Phascolarctidae
Source: RefSeq, a predicted model, not a curated record
GAGGUCGAGGAAGGGAGUCACUUGAGAAAGAAAAAGGAGAGGAGAGAGGGGUCAAAGAGUAGAAGAGGAAGGAGAGAGGAGACAAGCCCAGGCCUGGUCCAGAGCCUAUAAGAGCUCCCAAGUUACGAGAUGAUCAUCAUAAAAGAGCCUGAAUCAAUAUCAGGCCAUAGAAUAGAGUUAGAAGGAGCCAGACAAAUCAGAGAUCCCACUGCUAAGCUGCUGGUCCUGCCCUCUGGAAUCAAGGAGAGCAAGUCACAUGACAACCCUUCAGAUUCUUGAAGACAACUAUCCUUUCCCCCCUGAGAGUCUUCUGGCUUCUUUAGCUGAUGCCCCUAUCACAUGGAUUCAAGGCAAGCCUUUCCCAUCCAGGCUGCUCUUGUACUGUUCUGAACUCGGAAGAAGAAGACAGCAGUGCGGCCUAAUGAUCCGCGUAGGUUUCACAGAGCUGAUGAUACUCGGGCUGAAUCUUGAAGGACUUGCCUUCUCAAGAAGGCUGUGGUCUCCUCUGGGAGGGGACCUGAUUCUUCUCUUACGUUCCUUACAAAGCGGCUCUCCUAGGAGGCACGUGAUAAACGCUUUUUCUUAAUGGAGGCAUAUUCAAAUAUUCAUUGAAGGCAAAGGUUUUUCAUGGCAGUCUUUGAGGCUGGACUUGUUUUUGCCUUUCUUUGUGCCACCAACACUUAGAAAACUGAUACAUAGUAGGCACUUACUGAAUGCUUGUUUACUGAUUAGCAAUCCAAUAAGAACUGUUUUAAGCUCCUACUGUA